Molecule: ribosomal RNA, 253 nt
Filed under: uncultured bacterium
Lineage: Bacteria
Description: partial 16S ribosomal RNA
Rfam family: Bacterial small subunit ribosomal RNA
Source: RNAcentral
UACGAAGGGGGCUAGCGUUGUUCGGAAUUACUGGGCGUAAAGGGCGCGUAGGCGGUGUGUCAAGUCAGGCGUGAAAGCCCCGGGCUCAACCUGGGAACCGCGCUUGAGACUGGCACGCUCGAGUUCGGGAGAGGAUGGUGGAAUUCCCGGUGUAGCGGUGAAAUGCGCAGAUAUCGGGAAGAACACCUAUGGCGAAGGCAGCUCUCUGGGACGGUACUGACGCUGAGGCGCGAAAGCGUGGGGAGUAAACAGG